AUGACGUUCACCGGGCCUGUUAGGAAGUGGCGGAAGGAAUGGGUCACCAUCUCCGCCGCCACGGCCACGGCCACCUCCGCCGCGGCCUCCUCCACCGGGACUGGAUCUCGUGGAAAUAACCUCAUCCUGUUCAAGUGGACCCCGCUGAACGGCGCCAACGAACGAGAUGAGGAGCAGACGGCACCGGCGAAGACGGCCACGAGAAGGCGGCUGUACGUGCCGGUUUCUGUAGUUCAAGAUCAAAGGCAAGAAUCUGCCAAAUCUGAUGAUGAGAACAAGGCUAAUGAUGGAGAACCUUCAUCUACGGAAACUGAGCAGUCUAUUGGGAAAACUAAUAUGGAUGAUAUACUUAUGGAUGAGUCCCAGGCAUCAGAUGAGGUUCGAGAUUCUGGAAAUUUCGUUGGUGGAACUGAUCUAAAUCUGAACUUAGGUCCAAAAGACCCCGACGGUGAAGAUGAAGGUGAUACAGGUGAGCAACACGAGGUUCGAACAGAACACAGAUUGAAGAGGAAAUCUGUUACCCCUGACCUCGAGAUGAGAAUGUAA
This 546-nucleotide ribosomal RNA is filed under the name Triticum aestivum (bread wheat). RNAcentral describes it as "partial small subunit ribosomal RNA". The record is from RNAcentral. Lineage: Eukaryota; Viridiplantae; Streptophyta; Magnoliopsida; Poales; Poaceae.